Long non-coding RNA from Falco peregrinus (peregrine falcon), 3038 nucleotides. RefSeq lists it as uncharacterized. The transcript has 3 exons. NCBI's taxonomy places the organism in Eukaryota, Metazoa, Chordata, Aves, Falconiformes, Falconidae. The record is from RefSeq and is a predicted model, not a curated record.
CUCCCCCCGCGGCUGAGGCGAGUCGACCCGCUGCUCUCCUCACAGGAAAAUCUAACUCGUCGGGGAGAGAUAUAAAAUAAAAAAACCCGGUGAUGGGCACAGGGGUGCUGGGAGGUCACCGGGAGAAGUUCGUCGCCGUGUUUUCCCUUCAGGGGCAGCCCAGAGCCCUUGUUUUGCCACUUCAAGCUCCUGCCGGCGCUCAGCGCUUUAGGAGAAGAGCAGGAGGAAUGUGCAUUUGAAGAGAGGGUGACGGCAUCUGGAGGCAUUGCUCAGAAGGGGAAGGUGUAUGCUAAUGAUUUCAAGAAGCGGCAAAUUCAACUAUGGGAAGGAACGCAGCCUUUUGGAUCCAGGAGGGAAGGGUAAGUGCGAAAGUAAUCAGCAGCGACGAGACUGAGCUAAGUCACCCAAAGGCCAGGGCAGAGGGAGGAGGGAGAAGAAGCGUACCAAAGCCAGAAACCAGAAGAGUGAGUUUUCCUUGUGUUUGCAUAAGUUAGCACCUGUGUUGCUUGCAGCUGGAGGAGAGUAUGUGGGGGGUGGGAGACCUUUUUUCCUGGGAAGCACGAAAGGGUACUGUUUUACAUACAAGACCUGAUGACAGAAAAUGACUCCAGUUUUAUGCUAACUACUCUGCUGAUAGCAUUGAAAGUAGCAUUUCCAGCGGAGAAGGGACCUACAGGUUUUAAUUUCCCUGCAGGAUCUCCACUAAUCUCCAUUAUAAUAUUGCACUUAGAGUGCAUUGUUUCCCUCAGGUGGGCGAUACAUGGACCUAAGUGGUACAAAAUGCCUUUUCCACCUAGCUAUAGUGUUUGGUUAUACAGCCGGAGCCUGCUGGUGUGCCUUAAAAGUUUGUUGUCACAAAUUUGCAACAAUGUAUCAAUAAAUUGUAAAACUGCUAGUGUUUUGUUUGUUUGUUUGUUUUUCUCAAGUAAUGCCAACAUGAACUUUAAAGAGUACCAUAAUAUUGACUGUUUUCAUUACAGGUUAUUUGUCUAAUGAGCAGGUGUUUGCGUGUUAAUACUGUUAGAUUGUGGCUGUAAAAUCCUGUUGCACCAGAAAUCACAAACAAGCCCCAGUCCAGAUUUACAGGCGGGGAAAUAUACACAAUUAGUUUAGACCAUUAAAUUAACUAAUUGUCAAUACACCACAGACACAGUGUUUCCUUGAACAUGGUUGGAGUAGGUCUUCUUUUCUGUAAUCAAAUAGCAAAGUUGAGUGAAGCAGAAAUUGUGACAGCUGUUGGCAAGUUUAAUUUCUUUUACAUGGUUUUGAUAAAGGUGUAGACUGGAAACUUAAUCGCUGAUGUCCAUAACCUCCAGUUUCUGGAGGUCAUAACCAGUCAGUUUCUGCUGUGAUUUGCUUUUCUUUUUUUGCUAUGGGAUAAAUCUACUUGUCCUGAGACCAGCCUGUGAGACUUCCACAGUUUUCUCAUAAAACUGAUCCCUGCUGCUUGUUGCCAUCCUCUGUCUAGGAAAGCUGCCUUUAAUUUGUGCAUUUUAUCUUUUUGUAACUAAAAGAUAUUUUGUAACACUGUUCUCUAAGACAAUGAAAGUGCCUGUUUAUAGAGUGAGCGCUUCUACACUAGCCUGGUAUCCACAAUACUUAUAAACAGCUUUUCUGGAAAGAUGUGUUGGUGAUAGAAAAAAAUGCCUUGAAUAGAUCCUGUUAGUUAUCUAUGUUAUUUUAAUGCAUAGAUUAAAGUGUACAUAUUAAGGUGUGUAUUUAGAAGUCAUAUUAGACAUGUUCAUGAUUCUGAACAUUGAAAAUACUUUGAUUCUUGAGUUAGUAAGGAAUGCUUUAGCUUCAAACACAGCUAUUACUUGUCGGUUAGGAACUGAGCUUUGGUGAGCUUUAAGACCUUCCAAACCGUAGUUCAUAACUGAGUGCCUAUAGCCAAUAGUGAUGUUGCAUGUGCCUAUCUCUCAAGUAAAGAAUAUCAUGUAUUUUUCUGAAACUUAAGCUAAUACAAUUUUUCACUCUAUUUAAGAGCAAAAUCUUAAAACAGCACUGUAACACAGUCUGUGCAACAUACCAGCCUGGGGCAGUACUGAAUUUUUGUUGCUUAUUUCUUUCCCUAAAUGAACAAUCUCCACUUGGAAAAAUAAUGUAACAAAUCCUUUACAGAGUCAAAAAUGUUGUGUGAUGGUUAAGAGACAGAUUUAAGUACUUAAGGUAACCUUUAAUUGGAGUUGUCUGCCUAAGGUCCGAGGAGAACCUUCAAAGCUGCAGCAUGGGCUGCUGCCUACAGGUGCAGUGUGGCAGCAGGGCUGUGCUGCCUCAGCUGCUUGCUGACACCCGAAGGAGAAGGCCUUACUCUCCCUUCUUCCUUCCCUGCUCCACCUUCCCACUCCUAGUGAUGUGCUCUGGCCACAAGGUCAGCAGUAAAUGUGCUCCACUGGCAAAAGAACGUUUACUUUUUAGCCAGAGGUUAUUUUUCUGUAAUUUCACUGAGCUGAAUCAGCUUGCUUUGCAUCAAAUGGGUGCUGGCUCAGGGCAAGCAGUGGUGGCGUGCAGCCAGAACCAGAGGGGAAGGGAAGAUGAGAGGAGAGAGUGGGGAACUUUUGCUUUUGAUGACGAGAAGUUGAUUUGGCUCAUGGUGUAUUCAGUGUAUAAAUCUCUGGAGUCUAGGAGUGCUUGAGGAUAUACCUCUAUUGACAGUAGCGGGCCUCUCUGCCCAUACGCCAGUUCAGCCAGAUUCAAGCCAGCUUCUGUGGCAGAACUGUGUUAGCUAAUACACACUGCCCCUUAGGGAAACUUUCCUAUUUUCCUCUUUCUGUUUAAAUAAUUUAAUGUUACACAAUGUUGAAUGGCUAUAUUGCUUUUUGAGGUCUACUUUUAUGUUUGCAGCAACCGUAUGCCAAAUGAAAUGUAGGAUCAAGCUAAUGGGUAGUUGGCAGUUUUCUGUGAUUUGAUCAUAAUUAAAACCAAUGUAUUGAUCACAAGUUCAGAGCCAGAAUACUGCUUCAAUUCAUGCUUGGCAUGGAUUUAUUUAUUUGUAACUGAUUUAUUGAUUUAAUAAAUCUUUGUUGCGUGGUGUGCUA